GCCGGUGUAGCUCAGAGGUAGAGCGUUUCCUUGGUAAGGAAGAGGUCGGCAGUUCAAUUCUGCUCACUGGCU
RNAcentral lists this transfer RNA (72 nucleotides) under SAR324 cluster bacterium. RNAcentral's name for it is "tRNA-Thr". It matches the Rfam family "tRNA". From Rfam's summary of the family: Transfer RNA (tRNA) molecules are approximately 80 nucleotides in length. Their secondary structure includes four short double-helical elements and three loops (D, anti-codon, and T loops). The record is from RNAcentral. Lineage: Bacteria; Deltaproteobacteria.